ACAAUAUUGUUACAACCUUGUGUCGUGAAUCUUGUAACAUUCUUGUUCAUCAUGACUGUAUCAGACUUGUUAGGACAACCUUGUGAAAAGUCUGAUAAUGCCAUCAAGCUUGUUCCAAGUUGUUAACAGCUAAACAGCUUGUUCCAAACUUGUUACAACAACUGGGAACAAGCAGUACGAAGACAACUUGUUGACAGCCUGUGAACAGAUUUGUAACAACGUGUUUGCAGACUUGUAACAACUUGUGCGUUUUUACGUGUGUAGGAGUGUUUUAUCAUAUUUAAAAUGCGAGUGCGCAGCACGUGCAUUUUAGGUAUGAUGAAACACGGCUAUAAGUGCUUUUAGCUUCAAAUACGACUAAAAUAAUAAAAUAUAUGCCGUCUCAUUAGUAUUCUUUAGAUAAAGAAUACUAAUUAGGAUGGGCUUUUAUAUAAAGAAUACUAAUGAAGAUGAGUUUUAUCUUCAUGAUCACGUGACAUAUUAUGGUUGAAAUGAUUUGCCAAUAAGCUAUGAAUUAUUAAUGAUGUUUGAAUGCAAUUUUAUUCACACUUUUAUAGGAACAACAUAUCCAAACGUAACAUAUUCCAGAGCGCAAGGCUUCAAGGAAUCAUUCAUUAUUAACAGAGAAAGAGAAUGGGGGGGGGUCUUAUUUUUCAUAAUAUAACUUUCGGGGGGGACACAAGAAUUGUUUUGUUUGAUCUUGGAAGCCGAAAUAAAUGAAAGUCACACAUAUUUAAAUGUCAUGUUCGUUUUGGUAAAAUUCGGCAAAUUCUGCCGUGUUAAAAUUUUAAUGAAAUUUUGUAUAUGCACGCACGAAGGUUAUCGUUAGUAAUUUGGCGA
Paramuricea clavata is the source of this 840-nucleotide non-coding RNA. The record is from the annotation of a GenBank genome assembly. Lineage: Eukaryota; Metazoa; Cnidaria; Anthozoa; Malacalcyonacea; Plexauridae.